GCUCAGAUUGAACGCUGGCGGCAUGCUUUACACAUGCAAGUCGAACGGUAACAGGUCUUCGGAUGCUGACGAGUGGCGAACGGGUGAGUAAUACAUCGGAACGUGCCUAGUAGUGGGGGAUAACUACUCGAAAGAGUAGCUAAUACCGCAUGAGAUCUACGGAUGAAAGCAGGGGACCUUCGGGCCUUGUGCUACUAGAGCGGCUGAUGGCAGAUUAGGUAGUUGGUGGGGUAAAGGCUUACCAAGCCUGCGAUCUGUAGCUGGUCUGAGAGGACGACCAGCCACACUGGGACUGAGACACGGCCCAGACUCCUACGGGAGGCAGCAGUGGGGAAUUUUGGACAAUGGGCGAAAGCCUGAUCCAGCAAUGCCGCGUGCAGGAUGAAGGCCCUCGGGUUGUAAACUGCUUUUGUACGGAACGAAAAGCCUGGGGCUAAUAUCCCCGGGUCAUGACGGUACCGUAAGAAUAAGCACCGGCUAACUACGUGCCAGCAGCCGCGGUAAUACGUAGGGUGCAAGCGUUAAUCGGAAUUACUGGGCGUAAAGCGUGCGCAGGCGGUUUUGUAAGACAGUGGUGAAAUCCCCGGGCUCAACCUGGGAACUGCCAUUGUGACUGCAAGGCUAGAGUGCGGCAGAGGGGGAUGGAAUUCCGCGUGUAGCAGUGAAAUGCGUAGAUAUGCGGAGGAACACCGAUGGCGAAGGCAAUCCCCUGGGCCUGCACUGACGCUCA
RNAcentral lists this ribosomal RNA (730 nucleotides) under Comamonas sp. CCM-057. Its description in RNAcentral is "bacterial SSU rRNA". It matches the Rfam family "Bacterial small subunit ribosomal RNA", at positions 22 to 749 of the family's 1533-position model. Lineage: Bacteria; Pseudomonadati; Pseudomonadota; Betaproteobacteria; Burkholderiales; Comamonadaceae. The record is from RNAcentral.